This is a long non-coding RNA of Zophobas morio, 514 nucleotides long. RefSeq lists it as uncharacterized. The record is from RefSeq and is a predicted model, not a curated record. The transcript has 3 exons. NCBI's taxonomy places the organism in Eukaryota, Metazoa, Arthropoda, Insecta, Coleoptera, Tenebrionidae.
UGAUCGUUUUCCGGGUUGGAACCGUGUUAAUUAAGUUUAGGGCUCAACGUUUCGCACACUUUCGUAGGUGGCAUCUUCAGGUUCACGGUUCCAACCCGGAAAAUUAUCAUGUAUUGAUUCCGACCGUGGAAGCCUCCGAAAUUAUAGCAUGCUGUAACCUCAAUCUCAAUUUUGUUUACAAAAUGGUGUACCUACUAAUAACGCAAUAGUAUCUACCUUGUUCAAAUAUUUGAUGGUUGAUUGGAAACGGUGUUGGCAACGCCUUUUACAGUGAAAAAUUGAUUCGAAGCGUAUGAUAGUAUUUGCUUUGCCCUUCAAAACGUGACCCGAGCCACGCCAAUGUUUUUUCUCAUACAGAUACAUAUUUAUUAAGUGAACCUUUUUUUAGGAAACUUCGGAUGUUAUCAAAUAUUUAGGUUAUCAGCCUAUCCAAACACUGGGAGCGGACAUUCUAUUUAUUUUAAUACUGUUUAUUUAAUUAUUUAUUUAUCAUUUUUGUGCUUUUACUGACAAA